UUUGCUUGUUUUUUAGAGGCAGGGUCUUGCUCUUGUCACCCAGGCUGGAGUGCAGUGGCACGAUCACAGCUCACUGCAGCCUCAACUUCCUGAGCUCAAGCAAUCCUCCUGUCUCAGCCUCUCGAGCAGCUGGGAUUAUAGGCAUGAGCCACCACGCCUGGCUAACUUUUGUAUUUUUUUUUUUAUAGAGAUGAGGUCUUGCCAUAUUGCCCAGGCUGGUUUCAAACUCCUAGGCUCAAGUGAUCUGCCUGCCUCAGCCUCCUGAAGUGCUGGGAUUACAGGCAUGAGCCACCAUGCCCAGCCUGCCCAACCUCCUCAGUUCCAGAUUUUGAGGAAGCUGUCCCAGGAACCUGUGGCCACAGCCAUCCCAUCAGCUGUGACUCCCAGGCAGCUGACCCUGUUAUCGUGGCCAGAGAGGAUGCCUGAGGAAGAGGGAAAGGAGUCAGCCUGUCUCUCCAAGCUGAUUUGGAAAGCAGUGUGUGCAUGCGUAUGAAGAAACUGAGGCCCAUGGAGGAGUGACUUGUGCAAGGUCACUCAGAAAGUGAGCAACAGAAUUAGGAUUUGGAUUCUACCCCUGGCCAGUGUUAUUUUCAUCAGCACCUGGCCUCUUGAUAGAGAAGAAGCCAUCCUAUCUGACCAACUUCAGGCUAGUCUUAGAUGAGCCCUAGGCUGCUGUCAGGGCCCUCGGGCAACUCCAGAUCUCCUUGAUUCUGCCUUGAUUCCAUGUUUCCCUGAGGCUGUCUUGCCUCUCAGUGGGUGCCCCUGAAAUGCCAGGAACCCAGAACUGACCGGACAGUCAUGGUCCACAGAUCUCCUAGGGCAGGGAGAAGCCAUGGCAUUGGACAGUGGAGAGAGGCUGCUUAGAGCAACACUGAGGGAAGACAGUCCUAGUUGGGAACCAAGGGGUACUGGAUUCCAGGGGUGGAGUCACCCAGUGACAAAGGACAGCAGUAAGAGAGUCCGAAAUGGGAGCUGAUGGGGGGUACAGAAUGGGGAGGGAGGGCUGGGGAGGGUCCUUCCAGCUGAGGAAGCAGCAGCCAGGGCUGGCCCUUACCCACACGCUCAGACUUCAUGGAGUCCCAGACAUUGCAGUUGAAGUCGUCGUAGCCAGCGAAUAGCAGGCGGCCACUGAGGGAGAAGGCCACGGACGUGAUGCCGCAGAUGAUGCUCUCGUGGGAGAAGCAGAUCAGCUCCUGGUCUGCCCGCAGGUCAAACAAGCGGCAGGAAGCAUCAUCCGAGCCCGUGCAGAUGGCCUCUCCACUGGGGAAGAACUGAGGGCACAGGUGGCAAGUGCGUCAGGGAUCAGACCUGGGCAGCCCACAGCCUCUCCCGCCCUCUGCCUCCCAUCUGACAGCUCCAGGGCGAGCCGCUGCUCUCAGCCUCCCUGCCUGUCCCUUCCUUGGUUUGGGGUGAGAAGCAGCCCUGCCAACACGUACCACGUGCCAGUGACUUCCCUAUGCCCCUCGCCUGCUCCGCACUAUACAGCGCUGCAGGCAGGCAUCAUUUCCCUGUCGCAGGCAAGAGCACCAAGGCUUGCCUGCAGUGACCUGGCUAGAAGGGCGGACGGAGGUUGUCCCGGACUCCUAGACGACACAAGUGGGCUGGAUCGGGGUGUGCAAGAACAGGGUCCAGUACAAAUGCAAGGCCUGAAUCUCAUGGUGAGGAAAUGUCAGAUAAGCUCAAACGGAGGGAGAGUCUACAGAAAACUGGUUUGUACUCUUCAAAAAUGUCAGUGACAUAAAAGACAAUGAAAGGUGGGAAAACAGUUCCAGUUUAAAGGUGGUGACGAAAAAGAUAUGGCAAGGAAAUGCAAUGCACGUUUCCGGAUUGGAUCCUGGACAGAAAAAAACAUUAACUAUUAUGGACAUUUUUGAGGCAAUUGGUGAAAUUUGAAUAUAGACUGUAGACUGUAGUAUUGUGUCAAUGUUAAGUUCCUGAUUUUAAGAACCGCACUGUGAUUAUGCUAAGGAAGGGCUUUGUUUUAGGAAGUACUUAAGGGAU
This 2001-nucleotide small RNA is filed under the name Pongo abelii (Sumatran orangutan). Its description in RNAcentral is "processed transcript". Lineage: Eukaryota; Metazoa; Chordata; Mammalia; Primates; Hominidae. The record is from RNAcentral.